UACGUAGGUGGCGAGCGUUAUCCGGAAUUAUUGGGCGUAAAGCGCACGCAGGCGGUUCUUCAAGUCUGACGUGAAAUCUCCUGGCUUAACUGGGAGCGGUCGUUGGAAACUGCGGAGCUUGAGGCGAUGAGAGGGGUGCAGAAUUCCCGGUGUAGUGGUGGAAUGCGUAGAGAUCGGGGGGAAUACCUGUGGCGAAAACGGCGCCCUGGCGUCGUACUGACGCUCAGGUGCGAAAGCGUGGGGAGCGAACGGG
Molecule: ribosomal RNA, 253 nt
Filed under: uncultured bacterium
Lineage: Bacteria
Description: partial 16S ribosomal RNA
Rfam family: Bacterial small subunit ribosomal RNA
Source: RNAcentral